RNAcentral lists this ribosomal RNA (674 nucleotides) under Elsinoe rosarum. RNAcentral describes it as "eukaryotic LSU rRNA". It matches the Rfam family "Eukaryotic large subunit ribosomal RNA", at positions 114 to 808 of the family's 3401-position model. The record is from RNAcentral. Lineage: Eukaryota; Fungi; Ascomycota; Dothideomycetes; Myriangiales; Elsinoaceae.
UUUGAAAUCUGGCGUCUUCGGCGUCCGAGUUGUAAUUUGUAGAGGAUGCUAUUGAGUUGUCACCGGUCUAAGUUCCUUGGAACAGGACGUCAUAGAGGGUGAGAAUCCCGUAUGUGACCGGCCAGACGCUCUCUGUAUAGCUCCUUCGACGAGUCGGGUUGUUUGGGAAUGCAGCCCUAAAUGGGAGGUAAAUUUCUUCUAAAGCUAAAUACCGGCCAGAGACCGAUAGCGCACAAGUAGAGUGAUCGAAAGAUGAAAAGCACUUUGGAAAGAGAGUUAAAAAGCACGUGAAAUUGUUGAAAGGGAAGCGCUUGCAAUCAGUCUCGACGGCGGCUGUUCGGCCUCUCUUCUGAGUGGUUUAUUCAGUCGCCGCCGGGCCAGCAUCAGUUCUGGCGGUCGGAUAAAGACGCGGGGAAUGUAGCUCCUCUCGGGGAGUGUUAUAGCCUCGCGUGCAAUACGGCCUGCCGGGACUGAGGUCCGCGCUUCGGCUAGGAUGCUGGCGAAAUGGUUGUAAGCGGCCCGUCUUGAAACACGGACCAAGGAGUCUAACAUCUAUGCGAGUGUUUGGGUGUCAAACCCGUACGCGUAAUGAAAGUGAACGGAGGUGGGAACCGCAAGGUGCACCAUCGACCGAUCCUGAUGUCUUCGGAUGGAUUUGAGUAAGAGCAUAGCUG